AUUGAACGCUGGCGGAAUGCUUUACACAUGCAAGUCGAACGGCAGCACGGGGCAACCUGGUGGCGAGUGGCGAACGGGUGAGUAAUACAUCGGAACGUGCCCAAUCGUGGGGGAUAACGUAGCGAAAGUUACGCUAAUACCGCAUACGAUCUACGGAUGAAAGCGGGGGAUCGCAAGACCUCGCGCGAAUGGAGCGGCCGAUGUCAGAUUAGGUAGUUGGUGGGGUAAAGGCUCACCAAGCCAACGAUCUGUAGUUGGUCUGAGAGGACGACCAGCCACACUGGAACUGAGACACGGUCCAGACUCCUACGGGAGGCAGCAGUGGGGAAUUUUGGACAAUGGGCGCAAGCCUGAUCCAGCCAUUCCGCGUGCAGGAUGAAGGCCUC
This 386-nucleotide ribosomal RNA is filed under the name uncultured bacterium. RNAcentral describes it as "bacterial SSU rRNA". It matches the Rfam family "Bacterial small subunit ribosomal RNA", at positions 30 to 418 of the family's 1533-position model. The record is from RNAcentral.